Non-coding RNA from Meleagris gallopavo (turkey), 4218 nucleotides. NCBI's taxonomy places the organism in Eukaryota, Metazoa, Chordata, Aves, Galliformes, Phasianidae. The record is from RefSeq and is a predicted model, not a curated record.
ACUGACAUCCUGGAACAAAAAUGUUUUUGAUGGUAACUGACUAUUCAAAGCAUGAAGAACAAUGCACUGGUUUUAAGCAAUGGCGUGCAUUCUCCUUUCCACACCCUCAUAAUUCCUGGGAUCACUGUGAACACAUAUGUGCUCAGGUUCCUGAAAAAUAUAUCCAUUUCUCUGAGAUGAGCAGAACUGCCAGAUAUCUGUUGAAUGUGGAUUCCCAAUUUAACAUUUCUGGUCAGAUAAGUGCAGUUUGAAGAAGGAUAAGCACCUAACCAAUUACAUCACAAUCAUUAAGCAGUGACAGCCAUCCCUUCUGAAUGCAGCACACAUAGAGGUGAUUCUCAUCUGCUCUUCACUGUUCUUGUCAAGAAAAGUGAGAGGACACGCACAGCAUGCAGACCUCAAUGGCUAACAGUAACAAAGAUACACGCAUUCACGACAGCAGUACCUGAUUUCGGACCGCCUGCUUCCGCUCCGAGCUCAGCCCGAGGGCCGCGCAGCGGAGCAGAGGCCCUGCCGCCCGUACAGCCGACAGGAGGGCGGGCUCUGCCCGGUACCGAUACCGGCCCUCCCUCGGCGUCCCGCAGCGGAGGGCAAUGGGAGCCGCCAUCCCGGGGCUUCGCGGGCCUUUCUCGUCGGAAUCGCAGAAGCACAUGAAGCUUUAGAUGGAGUCCGGGAGCUGGCAGGCGAUGAGCCGUGUCGUCUGGACCACCAGAGCAGUGCUGUGGCCAAGUGUAUCAAAGGCAUUGGUUGACCCGGAGCAGCUGCUCUUCUCCGUGUGUGACUUGAGAACAAGAUCUAGGUCCCCAGAGGGCAGGAAGGUAGGGCUGUCCAGGCUACCACGCUCCUCUCCCUAGAAAGAAAUCUAAAUUAUGGCAACUAAGUGCUGUGGGAAGCACACUUGGUGUUUUGUUUCUACUUUUACAUCUAUUGUUAUGUUUAUUCAUAUUCUAUUUGGAACAGACAUCACAUAUGCUUAUUUCUUCCUUUACCCUGUAGCUAAGUAUUUGUAAGAGAUUCUAACCAGCAUGAGCACUUCCUGAAGGAUCCAUCCCUGAUAUUAUGCAGUGGUUAAUUGCGAUUAUUCAAAACUUCUGCAUACUUUGUUAUGAAAUGCAUGUGUUAGCAGUUCAGACACCACUCAAAUGCAGUCUUCUGCUGUAACCUGCUGUGGCACUUGAAUGCCAGUUGCCAAGUAUAACCACUGCUCUCUGUGUCUGUAAAAUAGCAGUAAGUGCAGGCAGCAGAAAAUAGGUCGGUAAUAAUUUACCGUGCUAGUCCACUUCAAAUGGAAAGCAUCUAAAAUGUAUAAAAAUUCUAAUAAAUGACCUAUCUUCAGCAAUAUUGGGCUUAUAUCUGCCUUGUUUGCCCAGAACCUAUCAGGAACAGCUUUAAGAAUGUAAUCCUCACAGCACUUUUCAAGAGAUAUUUUCCGAGUAUGUCUAGUAUACUUUGCCUCUGUUAAGCUUAUUUCUUUCAGGACAGGUAUAUAUUAAAACCCCUGCUUCCAUGGGAACCAAAUACAUGUAUAAAACAGAAUUCUUCCUCUUCCCUUUAGUGGAUUGAUUGGGAUUGAACUAUUUAGGAAAGGAACCAUCUAUAUUCACAAUCAAAUGGGAAAAAAAAAAAAAAAAAAGAGAGAAAAAUCCUAAAAAGGAAUACAUCUGAAGAAUCCAUAUCAAUGUUAAAUGUGUUGCAUGCAUAUUUGUUAACAAGACUAUCUGGAAUGACUUUUUUAAAGAAUGGAAUGGAACCACUGUUGUCAUCUAGCUUCAGUCCUGUAUUCAAAGAAUCUUCUUGGUUUGUUACUACAGCUACCAGUGCAUUUAGGAAAGUUUAUUAAAUCCCAGAGAGUCAAGACAACCUCCCACUGUUAGUAAAUUCAAGGUUAGUGAAAUAGGGAGACAAACUCAUGCUUCUCUCUUUUGUAGUAUCUUUGUAUCUUCUUGGACGUGGUACUGGACAGAAUUCUGCUCUGGAGGGACUUUCUCUCACCUACCUAGUCACACUGAAUGCAGUCAGUGCAGCUAAAACUUCCUUGGGUAAUUUAUUGUUGGUGACAUUGGACACCAAACGCAUUGCUGCUAUAUCAUGCUAUCUAUCCUGCUUGGGAUACUACUUCACAAAUGAUAUGAAACAUUGCUUUUGAUUUUGUAUUUCAGUCAGUAGAGUUUAAAACUAAAAACAAACAAACAAACAACACGACUUUCCCACAGUUUUCAGUAAGCAGCAAGACCUGGUCAGCUUUGAACCAAGGGUCAAAGUAUAACAAACCAGCAGGAUACUGCAGUGAUCCAAGUCUGUUAGGUACUAACAAUAUUUGCCCUGUUACACUGCCUUGUGACUGCACUAAUUAAAAUGCAGAUAGUCUUUAGCUCUUGAGUAAACCUUCCCUAAGAACAGAGAGCAGAGCAAGCGCAGUUCACUUCACAAAGAGAUGUGGUUGGUUAGCUGCUCAAAUGAGAGUUACUACCCCAUGAGUCAUGUUAGGACUCCACCCACUGUAGUCCAAUCAUGAGGCUUUCACACAAGCCUCAGGACUGCCAUCAGAGUCUGUAGUUCUGCUGGGUGGAACGGCACUAAAAAUACACUUCAUCCUUACUCAGAGUGCACAAGGAGAGCAGCAGGUUCUUCUGCUAGAGUACUUGAAAGAGCAGCGUGUCCAACAAUUUUCUUCACUGACAUUUAAAUCCUUAAGAUUAAAACCGCCCAUUCCAGAUUUGUUACUAAUAGAUGGCAUAUGUUCACAAAAUCAUACACUAAAACAUUACUUCCUCUUUGCAGCAGACUUAAGUGUUCUGCCAAGAAACUUAAUUGACUCAGCUGACAAUGCAGACUUAGUGACCUUCAUCCCAGCAUUCUGAAAUAACCAGCAAAUGAAAUUGUAAUUCUAGCAGCAAGGAUUUUAAGUAUCCAAUUGCAAACAGCAAAUUUUGUUUGUUAUUUUCAACAACACUGAAAAUUUAGUUUUAUUUCCAUUUUCCAAGGCUUAAGCCAAACACAAAGAUGUUGCUCAUGUCAAAGGUGAAUCUCAGGACACAGUGGAUCAGGAUGACACUUGGAUAUUCACAGAGGAUGUGACAAGAACCACAGUUAAAAUAGAGAAGACGGGAACUAGCAUGGCUGAGGCUAAAGGACUUGAAAGUUGUCAGAGGUUACCAUCCAUGCUCAUUGGAAACGAGGUGAACACAAGGUUGCCUUGCCUCAUCAUACUGCUGAGAGAUGCUUUGGUGAAACUCCAUCCCUAUGUUGCAGCUGACUUGGAUUCUGUGUCUGAGAAGGCCUGGCACAGCAAGGUGGACCGAUUUUAUGUAUUUCUGUAACUUUUCUAAGCACACGGUACAUCCAAAGAGAACAAGAGAAUCAGUUGUAACUGUAAACUCUGCUCUGAAUAUUAUAUAUAUUGAGGAAAACAUGUUUUCAGAGAGAACUUUGUGCUCAGGUAACAACUCAGGAUCAGCUCUGUCUAAGCUACGACGGCAUUAAUAUAAUUAAAUACAAUACAUGGUGUAUAUAGACGGAUACCUGGAAAACUAUCUGGACUAUUUUAAAAAUGAUUAAUCAGACUCUUAAAAGCUAGACUUUGUCAAAGCUGUUUGGAGGAUUGAACCCUAAACAAACAAACAAAAAAGGAAAAAGUCCCCUCAUAGAUCCAAGAUCUCAGUGAUGUACAAAUAACAGCAAAUUAAAGCUUGAAAUCCUUGGUGAUGUUUCUUGACUCCCAAGCUUUCCCCACCAGAUUUCUAAGCAAUUUCAAGUUUUUAGAUAUAAGAUCCCAUGAAAUGAAUCGAUAGAAGGCCUUUAGGAUUUCCUGUCUAGAUUUUCAAACUCCAAAUGCCUCUUUCUUCAGCCUCCUAAUAAUGAUACAGCCUAGGCUUUACCUAGGCUUUACUUUUUAGCCAAGCAAAAUGAUACACUAUGCUACAAUUUGCUUGCAACAUUGGCCGUGGAAACUUGAAAAUUCUUGGUUCGGAGCAAGAUUUACAAUGUACCAUUCAUCCAGUACCAGCAUGGAUGGAAUCAAGCAUACAGUUUUUGAGUAUUUUUUUACUCCAAUUUGUUCUGUUUGUUACUGUACUAUCUACCAUACAAGUCAGCUUAUGGACUGUGGGCUUUUCUGAUACCUCUACUUUGCAGUACAUCUUUCUGCUCAGGAAGUCAUAACCUCCAUUAGUCACAGUGUUCAUCAUUAGUCAACAGGUAUUUUUAAGGACUGAUAAA